AGGCGAAGGAGCAAUCUGGAGCAAACCCCAAAAAUAACGUCUCAGUUCGGACUGUGGUCUGCAACCCGACCACACGAAGCUGGAAUCGCUAGUAAUCGCGAAUCAGAAUGUCGCGGUGAAUACGUUCCCGGGUCUUGUACACACCGCCCGUCACACCAUGGGAGUCGGUAACACCCAAAGUUGGUAGUCUAACCGCAAGGAGGACGCCGCCUAAGGUGGGAUUGAUGACUGGGGUGAAGUCGUAACAAGGUAUC
This 254-nucleotide ribosomal RNA is filed under the name uncultured bacterium. RNAcentral's name for it is "partial 16S ribosomal RNA". It matches the Rfam family "Bacterial small subunit ribosomal RNA", at positions 1247 to 1500 of the family's 1533-position model. The record is from RNAcentral.